CUUGGGUCCGGCAUAACCCCGGGAAACUGGGGAUAAUUCCGGAUAACGCACAUAUGCUGGAAUGCUUUAUGCGUCAAAUGGAUUCGUCUGCCCAAGGAUGGGUCUGCGGCCUAUCAGGUAGUAGUGGGUGUAAUGUACCUACUAGCCGACGACGGGUACGGGUUGUGAGAGCAAGAGCCCGGAGAUGGAUUCUGAGACAUGAAUCCAGGCCCUACGGGGCGCAGCAGGCGCGAAAACUUUACAAUGCGGGAAACCGUGAUAAGGGGACACCGAGUGCCAGCAUCAUAUGCUGGCUGUCCGGGUGUGUAAAAUACACCUGUUAGCAAGGGCCGGGCAAGACCGGUGCCAGCCGCCGCGGUAACACCGGCGGCCCGAGUGGUGAUCGUGAUUAUUGGGUCUAAAGGGUCCGUAGCCGGUUUGGUCAGUCCUCCGGGAAAUCUGACGGCUUAACCGUUAGGCUUUCGGAGGAUACUGCCAGGCUUGGAACCGGGAGAGGUAAGAGGUACUAC
This 509-nucleotide ribosomal RNA is filed under the name Methanosarcina sp. enrichment culture clone E05. RNAcentral's name for it is "bacterial SSU rRNA". It matches the Rfam family "Archaeal small subunit ribosomal RNA", at positions 114 to 621 of the family's 1478-position model. Lineage: Archaea; Methanobacteriati; Methanobacteriota; Methanomicrobia; Methanosarcinales; Methanosarcinaceae. The record is from RNAcentral.